RNAcentral lists this ribosomal RNA (497 nucleotides) under uncultured bacterium. RNAcentral's name for it is "partial 16S ribosomal RNA". It matches the Rfam family "Bacterial small subunit ribosomal RNA", at positions 28 to 507 of the family's 1533-position model. The record is from RNAcentral.
GAUGAACGCUGGCGGCGUGCCUAAUACAUGCAAGUCGAGCGAACAGACGAGGAUCUUGCUCCUCUGACGUUAGCGGCGGACGGGUGAGUAACACGUGGAUAACCUACCUAUAAGACUGGGAUAACUUCGGGAAACCGGAGCUAAUACCGGAUAAUAUAUUGAACCGCAUGGUUCAAUAGUGAAAGACGGUUUUGCUGUCACUUAUAGAUGGAUCCGCGCCGCAUUAGCUAGUUGGUAAGGUAACGGCUUACCAAGGCAACGAUGCGUAGCCGACCUGAGAGGGUGAUCGGCCACACUGGAACUGAGACACGGUCCAGACUCCUACGGGAGGCAGCAGUAGGGAAUAUUCCGCAAUGGGCGAAAGCCUGACGGAGCAACGCCGCGUGAGUGAUGAAGGUCUUCGGAUCGUAAAACUCUGUUAUUAGGGAAGAACAAAUGUGUAAGUAACUAUGCACGUCUUGACGGUACCUACUCAGAAAGCAACGGCUAACUACGUG